Molecule: transfer RNA, 76 nt
Filed under: Paenibacillus illinoisensis
Lineage: Bacteria; Bacillati; Bacillota; Bacilli; Caryophanales; Paenibacillaceae
Also listed under: 2 other names
Description: tRNA-Arg
Rfam family: tRNA
About the family: Transfer RNA (tRNA) molecules are approximately 80 nucleotides in length. Their secondary structure includes four short double-helical elements and three loops (D, anti-codon, and T loops).
Source: RNAcentral
UGUCUCAGUAGCUCAGCUGGAUAGAGCAACGGCCUUCUAAGCCGUCGGUCGGGGGUUCGAAUCCCUUCUGGGACGU